CACUCCUGCGGGAGGCAGCAGUGGGGAAUAUUGGACAAUGGGCGCAAGCCUGAUCCAGCCAUGCCGCGUGAGUGAUGAAGGCCCUAGGGUUGUAAAGCUCUUUCACCGGUGAAGAUAAUGACGGUAACCGGAGAAGAAGCCCCGGCUAACUUCGUGCCAGCAGCCGCGGUAAUACGAAGGGGGCUAGCGUUGUUCGGAUUUACUGGGCGUAAAGCGCACGUAGGCGGACUAUUAAGUCAGGGGUGAAAUCCCGGGGCUCAACCCCGGAACUGCCUUUGAUACUGGUAGUCUUGAGUUCGAGAGAGGUGAGUGGAAUUCCGAGUGUAGAGGUGAAAUUCGUAGAUAUUCGGAGGAACACCAGUGGCGAAGGCGGCUCACUGGCUCGAUACUGACGCUGAGGUGCGAAAGCGUGGGGAGCAAACAGGAUUAGAUACCCCUGUAGUCCCA
RNAcentral lists this ribosomal RNA (447 nucleotides) under uncultured organism. RNAcentral's name for it is "partial 16S ribosomal RNA". It matches the Rfam family "Bacterial small subunit ribosomal RNA", at positions 334 to 797 of the family's 1533-position model. The record is from RNAcentral.